CUACGGGCCGCUCCAGUGGGGAAUAUUGCACAAUGGGCGCAAGCCUGAUGCAGCCAUGCCGCGUGUAUGAAGAAGGCCUUCGGGUUGUAAAGUACUUUCAGCGGGGAGGAAGGGAGUAAAGUUAAUACCUUUGCUCAUUGACGUUACCCGCAGAAGAAGCACCGGCUAACUCCGUGCCAGCAGCCGCGGUAAUACGGAGGGUGCAAGCGUUAAUCGGAAUUACUGGGCGUAAAGCGCACGCAGGCGGUUUGUUAAGUCAGAUGUGAAAUCCCCGGGCUCAACCGGGGAACUGCAUCUGAGACUGGCAAGCUUGAGUCUCGUAGAGGGGGGUAGAAUUCCAGGUGUAGCGGUGAUAUGCGUAGAGAUCUGGAGGAAUACCGGUGGCGAAGGCGGCCCCCUGGACGAAGACUGACGCUCAGGUGCGAAAGCGUGGGGAGCAAACAGGAUUAGAUACCCCAGUAGUC
This 464-nucleotide ribosomal RNA is filed under the name uncultured bacterium. RNAcentral's name for it is "partial 16S ribosomal RNA". It matches the Rfam family "Bacterial small subunit ribosomal RNA", at positions 339 to 795 of the family's 1533-position model. The record is from RNAcentral.